GACGAACGCUGGCGGCAUGCCUAACACAUGCAAGUCGAACGGAACUUGUUGAAUGAAGUUUUCGGAUGGAUUUCAGCAAGUUUAGUGGCGGACGGGUGAGUAACGCGUGAGCAACCUGCCUUUCAGAGGGGGACAACAGUUGGAAACGACUGCUAAUACCGCAUAACGUAUCGGAACCGCAUGGCUCUGAUACCAAAGAUUUAUCGCUGAAAGAUGGGGCUCGCGUACGAUUAGAUAGUUGGUGAGGUAACGGCUCACCAAGUCGACGAUCGUUAGCCGGACUGAGAGGUUGAACGGCCACAUUGGGACUGAGACACGGCCCAG
Molecule: ribosomal RNA, 324 nt
Filed under: uncultured bacterium
Lineage: Bacteria
Description: bacterial SSU rRNA
Rfam family: Bacterial small subunit ribosomal RNA
Source: RNAcentral